GAGCGCUGUAGCAAUACAGAGCGGCGCACGGGGUGAGUAACACGUGGGAACGUGCCCUAUGGUUCGGAAUAACCCAGGGAAACUUGGGCUAAUACCGGAUAAGCCCUUUUGGGGAAAGAUUUAUCGCCAUUGGAGCGGCCCGCGUCCGAUUAGCUAGUUGGUGGGGUAAUGGCCCACCAAGGCAACGAUCGGUAGCUGGUCUGAGAGGACGACCAGCCACACUGGGACUGAGACACGGCCCAGACUCCUACGGGAGGCAGCAGUGGGGAAUCUUGGACAAUGGGGGAAACCCUGAUCCAGCCAUGCCGCGUGAGUGAUGAAGGCCCUAGGGUUGUAAAACUCUUUCGGCGGGGACGAUAAUGACGGUACCCGCAGAAGAAGCUCCGGCUAACUUCGUG
RNAcentral lists this ribosomal RNA (398 nucleotides) under uncultured bacterium. RNAcentral's name for it is "bacterial SSU rRNA". It matches the Rfam family "Bacterial small subunit ribosomal RNA", at positions 64 to 507 of the family's 1533-position model. The record is from RNAcentral.